GAUGAACGCUGGCGGCGUGCCUAAUACAUGCAAGUCGAGCGAACAGACGAGGAGCUUGCUCCUCUGACGUUAGCGGCGGACGGGUGAGUAACACGUGGAUAACCUACCUAUAAAACUGGGAUAACUUCGGGAAACCGGCGCUAAUACCGGAUAAUAUAUUGAACCGCAUGGUUCAAUAGUGAAAGCCGGUUUUGCUGUCACUUAUCGAUGGAUCCGCGCCGCAUUAGCUAGUUGGUAAGGUAACGGCUUACCAAGGCAACGAUACGUAGCCGACCUGAGAGGGUGAUCGGCCACACUGGAACUGAGACACGGUCCAGACUCCUACGGGAGGCAGCAGUAGGGAAUCUUCCGCAAUGGGCGAAAGCCUGACGGAGCAACGCCGCGUGAGUGAUGAAGGUCUUCGGAUCGUAAAACUCUGUUAUUAGGGAAGAACAAAUGUGUAAGUAACUAUGCACGUCUUGACGGUACCUAAUCAGAAAGCCACGGCUAACUACGUG
This 497-nucleotide ribosomal RNA is filed under the name uncultured bacterium. Its description in RNAcentral is "partial 16S ribosomal RNA". It matches the Rfam family "Bacterial small subunit ribosomal RNA", at positions 28 to 507 of the family's 1533-position model. The record is from RNAcentral.